RNAcentral lists this ribosomal RNA (1369 nucleotides) under uncultured bacterium. Its description in RNAcentral is "bacterial SSU rRNA". It matches the Rfam family "Bacterial small subunit ribosomal RNA", at positions 28 to 1381 of the family's 1533-position model. The record is from RNAcentral.
GACGAACGCUGGCGGCGUGCCUAAUACAUGCAAGUAGAACGCUGAAGAGAGGAGCUUGCUCUUCUUGGAUGAGUUGCGAACGGGUGAGUAACGCGUAGGUAACCUGCCUUGUAGCGGGGGAUAACUAUUGGAAACGAUAGCUAAUACCGCAUAACAAUGGAUGACACAUGUCAUUUAUUUGAAAGGGGCAAUUGCUCCACUACAAGAUGGACCUGCGUUGUAUUAGCUAGUAGGUGAGGUAAUGGCUCACCUAGGCGACGAUACAUAGCCGACCUGAGAGGGUGAUCGGCCACACUGGGACUGAGACACGGCCCAGACUCCUACGGGAGGCAGCAGUAGGGAAUCUUCGGCAAUGGGGGCAACCCUGACCGAGCAACGCCGCGUGAGUGAAGAAGGUUUUCGGAUCGUAAAGCUCUGUUGUAAGUCAAGAACGGGUGUGAGAGUGGAAAGUUCACACUGUGACGGUAGCUUACCAGAAAGGGACGGCUAACUACGUGCCAGCAGCCGCGGUAAUACGUAGGUCCCGAGCGUUGUCCGGAUUUAUUGGGCGUAAAGCGAGCGCAGGCGGUUUGAUAAGUCUGAAGUUAAAGGCUGUGGCUCAACCAUAGUUCGCUUUGGAAACUGUCAAACUUGAGUGCAAAAGGGGAGAGUGGAAUUCCAUGUGUAGCGGUGAAAUGCGUAGAUAUAUGGAGGAACACCGGUGGCGAAAGCGGCUCUCUGGUCUGUAACUGACGCUGAGGCUCGAAAGCGUGGGGAGCGAACAGGAUUAGAUACCCUGGUAGUCCACGCCGUAAACGAUGAGUGCUAGGUGUUGGAUCCUUUCCGGGAUUCAGUGCCGCAGCUAACGCAUUAAGCACUCCGCCUGGGGAGUACGACCGCAAGGUUGAAACUCAAAGGAAUUGACGGGGGCCCGCACAAGCGGUGGAGCAUGUGGUUUAAUUCGAAGCAACGCGAAGAACCUUACCAGGUCUUGACAUCCCGAUGCUAUUUCUAGAGAUAGAAAGUUACUUCGGUACAUCGGUGACAGGUGGUGCAUGGUUGUCGUCAGCUCGUGUCGUGAGAUGUUGGGUUAAGUCCCGCAACGAGCGCAACCCCUAUUGUUAGUUGCCAUCAUUCAGUUGGGCACUCUAGCGAGACUGCCGGUAAUAAACCGGAGGAAGGUGGGGAUGACGUCAAAUCAUCAUGCCCCUUAUGACCUGGGCUACACACGUGCUACAAUGGUUGGUACAACGAGUUGCGAGUCGGUGACGGCGAGCUAAUCUCUUAAAGCCAAUCUCAGUUCGGAUUGUAGGCUGCAAUUCGCCUACAUGAAGUCGGAAUCGCUAGUAAUCGCGGAUCAGCACGCCGCGGUGAAUACGUUCCCGGGCCU